UACGAAGGGUGCAAGCGUUAAUCGGAAUUACUGGGCGUAAAGCGCGCGUAGGUGGUUUGUUAAGUUGGAAGUGAAAGCCCCGGGCUCAACCUGGGAACUGCAUCCAAAACUGGCGAGCUAGAGUAUGGCAGAGGGUAGUGGAAUUUCCUGUGUAGCGGUGAAAUGCGUAGAUAUAGGAAGGAACACCAGUGGCGAAGGCGACUACCUGGACUGAUACUGACACUGAGGUGCGAAAGCGUGGGGAGCAAACAGG
Molecule: ribosomal RNA, 253 nt
Filed under: uncultured Pseudomonadales bacterium
Lineage: Bacteria; Pseudomonadati; Pseudomonadota; Gammaproteobacteria; Pseudomonadales
Description: partial 16S ribosomal RNA
Rfam family: Bacterial small subunit ribosomal RNA
Source: RNAcentral